UUUCACUGACAUCCACAUUUUUGUUUCUAGUCCUUUGUUAAAAAAUGAACUGCACAGCAAAAGCAUGCGAGGAUAAGGAUUUCUGAACACCGCCAUGCACACCAUGGUGUUCCCAGCACUGAGCUAUUAAUGCAUCACUGCUGUCCUGCACUGGACGAAGGGGGAGAGACAGUUCAGAGGAGCAGCUGGCUAAGGAGAGCCCCAGGGAUGAGUUCACCUGGAAAGAAGAAAGCGAUAGCCUUCAGCACAUCCAGUCUCCUCUUGGCCCCCUGCACUGCCCUCCCAGGGAUCAGUCUGCUGCUGGACAUGCCACUAACUUCUAUGUCACUGACCACAAACUCAGCAGAGAUUCCACCUUUCAACCAUGAUGAAGUAAUGAAUACUAAAUUUCUAUCCAGCCAUAAUCAACUAUAAAACUGGAAAUUUUUAUGUAAAAACUGUUUCCAAUCAUUUGAGAAUAACCAUCAAAAAAAUUGUGAACAUUUAGGGGAAAAAAAAACCAAAACAAAAAACCCAGAGAUGUGCCCUAAAAGUGCCCUAGCUUUCUGAAUGGAGCUAAUUACUGGACCCUGGCCCACGGAGAAGUGGCAUAAGCAUGGUUUCAUAAUCUUGCUGAAUUGAAUACACAGAAAUUGGAGAUGAGGAAGUCUUAGAGAAUUGGUAUCUGGAAGGCAGAGUACUGACAAAGAAGAAGCUACUCAGAAAAAAAGCUCCAAGAAUCUACAAGGAUCACCAUGAUUCUUUCACUGAAUGCUAAAUUGCACAUGCACAGAAUGACUCCUUAAGGCCAGGCAAAGAACAACCAUUAAGGAAAUGCCAUUGCCAUAGAGCUGUAAGAUGGAAAACUCCCAGAAUUCUCAUAGGGUUGGGAAAGUGUGGGGUUUAACUAGCCAGACUGGAGAACCUCAUGGAACACACAUGGCAUUUUGCGUGACGCCAAAAGGGCCAUACAUCAGGAGUGAAACUGAGCUAAUCACAGUGUAGAGUCACUCUGGACCUUACCAGGGAUUCUUGUAGUCAUGCUAUGAUGAUUAAGUUGAUGAUUCUUUGAGGAUAAAGUAAUACUAAACGUGUGUGCACCUCGUAAUAUAGGGUCAUUACAUGUAAAACAAAGCUGACAGAAAAACAGAUAAAUCUACAAUUUUGGUAAAAUUAUUUCAUCUUUGCUCUCUCAGUAUUUGGGAAACUGAUUACAGAGAAAAUCUGAACAAGACUAUCAACCAAAAUGAUCUAACUGACAUUAAUAAAGCUUUACACCCAGCAACAAUGGGAUCCAUACCUUUUCCAAAUUGUUAUUUGAUUAAUUCCAGCAUCAAUUUUUUUUUUAAAUAAGGGGAAGAAAAAACUAUAUCAGAACUGGAUGAAACAUACAUGAAAGAAAAACUGUCUGGAGUGGGGCUGGGUGGAUGUUAAACAUGUACAUAAUUUUAUUUGCAAUUUAAAUGCUAUUAAUCACUUUUUAUUUUUUAAUAAUAAAAUAUUUAAUGAAAUGUAAAUUAAUUUGGAAAUGCCAUUUCAUUCCGGUGUUAUUCCAAUUUUUAUGAAGCUUGUUUCAGUCAGAAAUGGUCCAUGGCUGAGAAACUGUGCUUGUUCUUUAAGAGUCCUUUGAAAUAAAGCUGUUCCACAACUUGUAGAA
Molecule: long non-coding RNA, 1636 nt
Organism: Camelus dromedarius (Arabian camel)
Lineage: Eukaryota; Metazoa; Chordata; Mammalia; Artiodactyla; Camelidae
Exons: 2
Source: RefSeq, a predicted model, not a curated record